This 519-nucleotide ribosomal RNA is filed under the name Staphylococcus succinus. RNAcentral describes it as "bacterial SSU rRNA". It matches the Rfam family "Bacterial small subunit ribosomal RNA", at positions 1 to 505 of the family's 1533-position model. Lineage: Bacteria; Bacillati; Bacillota; Bacilli; Caryophanales; Staphylococcaceae. The record is from RNAcentral.
UAGAGUUUUGAUCCUGGCUCAGGAUGAACGCUGGCGGCGUGCCUAAUACAUGCAAGUCGAGCGAACGGAUAAGGAGCUUGCUCCUUUGAAGUUAGCGGCGGACGGGUGAGUAACACGUGGGUAACCUACCUAUAAGACUGGAAUAACUUCGGGAAACCGGAGCUAAUGCCGGAUAACAUAUAGAACCGCAUGGUUCUAUAGUGAAAGAUGGUUUUGCUAUCACUUAUAGAUGGACCCGCGCUGUAUUAGCUAGUUGGUAAGGUAAUGGCUUACCAAGGCGACGAUACAUAGCCGACCUGAGAGGGUGAUCGGCCACACUGGAACUGAGACACGGUCCAGACUCCUACGGGAGGCAGCAGUAGGGAAUCUUCCGCAAUGGGCGAAAGCCUGACGGAGCAACGCCGCGUGAGUGAUGAAGGUUUUCGGAUCGUAAAACUCUGUUAUUAGGGAAGAACAAAUGCGUAAGUAACUGUGCGCAUCCUUGUACGGUACCUAAUCAGAAAGCCACGGCUAACUNAC